UUUACAAUGUUAUUCGGUGCACCAUUUUCU
This 30-nucleotide non-coding RNA is filed under the name Mus musculus (house mouse). The record is from RNAcentral. Lineage: Eukaryota; Metazoa; Chordata; Mammalia; Rodentia; Muridae.